AAGUCGUAACAAGGUCUCCGUAGGUGAACCUGCGGAGGGAUCAUUACAAGUGACCCCCGGCUCCGGCCGGGGAUGUUCAUAACCCUUUGUUGUCCGACUCUGUUGCCUCCGGGGCGACCCUGCCUUUUCACGGGCGGGGGCCCCGGGUGGACACAUCAAAACUCUUGCGUAACUUUGCAGUCUGAGUAAAUUUAAUUAAUAAAUUAAAACUUUCAACAACGGAUCUCUUGGUUCUG
RNAcentral lists this unclassified non-coding RNA (236 nucleotides) under Cladosporium sphaerospermum. RNAcentral's name for it is "partial contains small subunit ribosomal RNA, internal transcribed spacer 1, and 5.8S ribosomal RNA". The stretch from base 1 to 46 matches the Rfam family "Eukaryotic small subunit ribosomal RNA", at positions 1786 to 1831 of the family's 1831-position model. Lineage: Eukaryota; Fungi; Ascomycota; Dothideomycetes; Cladosporiales; Cladosporiaceae. The record is from RNAcentral. RNAcentral also lists the same sequence under 3 other names.